Molecule: long non-coding RNA, 960 nt
Filed under: Coturnix japonica (Japanese quail)
Lineage: Eukaryota; Metazoa; Chordata; Aves; Galliformes; Phasianidae
Description: lncRNA (ENSCJPG00005002193.1)
Source: RNAcentral
UUCUUUUCCCUUCUGGUUUAUUCCUAUUCCCUUCUUUUUUGGGAAGCUGUAUUUAUCUUGUAUUUACUUUUGUAUUUAUCUUACCUUUUUAGAGGUGUUGUGCCUGCUUCUGCUGGCUUCAAAAAGGAACAGGGAGCUCUACAGUAGAAGCCUGAAGGUGAGGUGGGCUGGCCUCUCUGCCUGCCUGUGCUCCUUCCUUCCCCCUGGAAAGUUCACCACAUGAGACUUUGAUAGGCUUCUUCUUACCCUAUUUGUUUUACUUUUCCUCCCCCCUUUCGUGUUCUCCUUUCUCUUUUUCUUCCCUAUUUAUUUCUUCAAUUUUCUCUUUACUUCCCCUUUCUUCCCUCUUUCUUCUUGCUCUUUCUUUUUCAUCCCCUUUAUGUUUCCGUUUCCCUUCCUCUUUCCCUUUCCCUUCCACUUCCCCUUUCUCUUUCCCUUUCCCUUCCUUUCCCUUUUCCUUCCCUUUUCUCUUUCCUUUCCCUUUUUGUUUCCCCUCCCUUCCCUUCUUUGCCUCAAGAAGCUGUAUUUAUCUUGUAUUUACUUACUGUAUUAUCUUACCUUUUUUAGAGACUGUUGGCCUGCUUCUGCUGGCUUCAAAAAGGAACAGGGAGCUCUACAGUAGAAGCCUGAAGUUGAGGUGGGGUGGCCUCUCUGCCUGUACUCCUUCCUUCCUCCUGGAAAGUUCACCACAUGAGGUUUUGAUAGGCUUCCAUAAUGUAUGGGUAUGGAAAGCUGCAACUAACUCUGCAGAUGACUGAUUUUCACUAUUUCUGCAGUCACAUUGGUCUGGCAACAGGGGAAUCAGCUGUGGCUGUGGGUGUGGUGAGAGCAGCACAACCACCCCAUCCUUCUCUGAGUCCUCACUUCCUCUGCAGCAUUGCUUCACAGAGACCCUUGGCACACCCUUAAAAGCAGCGGCAGCAACCAGCCACAGUUGCACCUGGGUUUAAAUUUGUCUGC